AUGAGUUUGAAUGCAGUGAAAAUUGGGCACAUAAUACUUAUGCUUUUAAAGAUGAGGGAGAGAAAACAAAUUGAAUCAUUUUCAGAAAAAUUGGUUAAUAGUUGUGGUGCCUUAGAAAUGGGAAGUGAUUUCUCAAUAAUAGAGGACUAGUAUGGUUUUAAUCCAUCAACUGACGAAUCCUGCAUCACUUCGGUAGUCAUAUAGUGGUGACAAAGCAGGGAGAUGUUGGCAAGAACUUUGUUGGUUAAAAAUUAUGUAAUAUCGUUGAAGUUAUAUUAAUCAGAUGUUAGUGAACUAUGGAGGUGGCACGGUUAUAAUUUUUUUUUAUUUUUUCCCCUAAAAUGUAUUAUGAUAACUGAAAAAAUGUAUGUAUUUUGGGAUUUUUUUUGGGGAAGGAUAUCAUAUUCAUUAGUGAAAUAUAAAAUGAUUGAUAUUUGGAAUUGUUAUGUUGCUCUGAUCAUAGGGACUUCCUUUGCAAAUGUCUGAAACUGUUUCUUAUUUUUGUUAUUUUGACAAUGGUUAGGAUAACUUUUAUCAGGUUAGACUGCUUACCUUUUUUGUUUUUGAAAAAAAAAAUUCUGCCCUUGAAAAUGUUGAACUGUUUGAAAUUUAUAGGUAAUGCAUUCGCCGAUUCUAUGACCUUCUGGCCUUGAAAAUGUUGAACUGUUUGAAAUUUAUAGGUAAUGCAUUCGCCGAUUCUAUGACCUUCUGGCCUUGAAAAUGUUGAACUGUUUGAAAUUUAUGGGUAAAGCAUUUGCUGAUUCUAUGUUUGGGACCUUUUGCUGCAAUAAAUAAUGGAAGUUAAAAUCAUCCUUUACAACUAGCUAGUUGCACCAUUAAUUCUGGUCACCUUAAUAGUGACUCUUUCCAUUAAUUAUUUCUUGUCACCUUAAUAGUGUCUUUCUCAUUCCUUUUUCUUCCAAAUUAUCUUUAGUUGUUUUCUCAUUUUCAUGUCCGAUUACAGUUUUUAUGACCUUUGGGUCUUGACUUAGUGUUUCUUCAAAGUUUGAUUUAAGCUUUCUGGAUUGGGAGGCAACUUUUUCCUACUUGUGAUUUGAGUGCUCAAGUUGGGUGACGUUUAAUGACUCUUUUGGUUGUUUUUACUGUUGUGUGCAAGCAUGAAUGCCAUUUUGUAUGUAUGUUAAAGGCCUCAUGUCAGCCAUUUCUUUUUCAAAAUUUAAUCUAAAUUUUACCUGUAAGCUUUUUGAUUCUUGAUAUCACUGGCACGUCUGAGGUUUUCUUUGUCCUCCAUUUACUAGUGCAGGCAUCUUAUACUUCUUUUGGGGGAUGGAUUAGUGAUAAUAAUUAAUAUAAGAUUGUUCAGGAGAGGAGAGCUGAGGUUGGCAUGACAUUCCUCAGAAUUUGAGUAAUUGACUUGGCAAAUUCUUCAGUUUAGGCUGUUGUCAUGGUUGGCUUUCUAUGUGUAGUAUACCAUUUAUGCGCAUAUCAGUUUUAUUCUUUAGGAUUGUGUGUGCUUUUCGUAGUUGAAAAUGACGAAUGCAAAAAGAUACUAUUGAGGUGGAUUCUUGGGGAGUUUUUUUCCCUCCUUUUUGAAUUUUGUCAUCUUUGUUGUGAUAAUUUUUUUGGGGUAACUCAUCUCUCUUCUGCUUUGAGAGUUGGUGUUUAAUUUUAAAAGAUAGUUGGAUUUAAAUGUUCUUAUCCGAAUCUUCUCUGCAUUAAAAUGUAGAAUGCAAUAUGAACUUCAAUAUUCUCACUCCUGUUGAAUCAGUUAAGCAUUUGAUUAUGUAAUAAAUAAUAGGCUGUAUCUCUGAUCAUACCUCUUUCCAUUUUAUGCAUUGACUUGUUGACUAUUGUAUUAGCUGUGUUUGUUGAUCUGAAGUAUGUGCACUAAAAGCAACUUCCUAAUUGCAUUAUCCUCCUGUUUCAGAUCUCAGAAAAUUUAGAGUAGAUAUUGACUCCAUGGAAUCUGCGUUUGCUGUACAGUGGAGAAGUUGGAUACCAGCAAUUAUCCUGCCACUGGAGAGUGGGGUUGGGUUGAGGCUGUGUAUCUCUGCAUAAUUGGGACUGAUUCCUUGAAUCUACAAGUGGGUUAUUUGUCUAGGCAGAAAUUUGUAUAAUAUUUUGGGUAGAAUGUGGUGAUGAUUAGAUACAGCAGAUGGUUUGUUUUCUGUAGCACGUGUACAUGGCUAACUACUGCUACUCAUCUUAGUUUCAGUAACAUUGUUGUUGAUUUUCUCCUUGCAGAUUGAGGAUUCUUUGGUGUUAUACAAAAGGUAAUCUGUAAUCAGAGUUCUUGAAGUGAUAGAUAACAAUAUUGCUUCAUCAGAAAUAGUUCUUCCAAGGCCAUUUACUCAUUUGCAUAUAUGCCACUUUCUAGUCUCUAGUAUCACACUGUAUUUGGGAUCUUGGCCUCUCUGUGGAUAUCCUGUGUCAUUUAUCUUGUGGAUCAAACAUUUUUCUUUGGAAAAUUUUAAAAAGUUUAGGAAUUGAAUUUUGACUCGUUGUAUCAUAAGAUAGGUAUUCAAUCAUUGAGAGCUAUUAGUGGUGUGUGUAAAUGGUUAGAUUGGGUAAUUGAAAUUAUAGGAAGUAAGAAUGGAGCUGAAUCGAACAAAUGGAAUCAGGUUGAAUAAAUUGCUUUGAUUCAAAUUUUGUCAAUUUCAUAAAGUACGUCUCCUUAUGUAAGUUGAUGUUAUAAAUUAAUAAUCUAAGUUGAUGUUAUAAAUUAAUAAUC
RNAcentral lists this unclassified non-coding RNA (2692 nucleotides) under Hevea brasiliensis (rubber tree). Lineage: Eukaryota; Viridiplantae; Streptophyta; Magnoliopsida; Malpighiales; Euphorbiaceae. The record is from RNAcentral.